GACGAACGCUGGCGGCGUGCUUAACACAUGCAAGUCGAACGGAAAGGCCCUGCUUGCAGGGUGCUCGAGUGGCGAACGGGUGAGUAACACGUGGGUGAUCUGCCCCUUACUUUGGGAUAAGCCUGGGAAACUGGGUCUAAUACUGGAUAGGACCAUGCUGUAGGUGGUGUGGUGGAAAGAUUAGUUUCGGUAAGGGAUGAGCUCGCGGCCUAUCAGCUUGUUGGUGGGGUAAUGGCCUACCAAGGCGUCGACGGGUAGCCGGCCUGAGAGGGUGGACGGCCACAUUGAGACUGAGAUACGGCCCAGACUCCUACGGGAGGCAGCAGUGGGGAAUAGUGCACAAUGGGCGCAAGCCUGAUGCAGCGACGCCGCGUGGGGGAUGACGGCCUUCGGGUUGUAAACUCCUUUCAGCCAUGACGAAGCCCUUGUGGUGACGGUAGUGGUAGAAGAAGCACCGGCUAACUACGUG
This 469-nucleotide ribosomal RNA is filed under the name uncultured bacterium. RNAcentral describes it as "partial 16S ribosomal RNA". It matches the Rfam family "Bacterial small subunit ribosomal RNA", at positions 28 to 507 of the family's 1533-position model. The record is from RNAcentral.